ACUGUUUCUGGUCUAUCUUAUUCCCCUCCUUAUUAAGAUGCUUUGUACUAUUAUUAAUGCAAACCAAAUCAAACCAAAUCUAUCUAAAUCUAGUGCAUCAGAUUACCCUAGUUGUGGUGUCUUUCAUGCAUCCAUUCAUCAAUCUAGUACAAUUUUCCUCUCUCUGCUUAUUGUAUUUUGAGACUGUCUCAAUAAACCUGAAGUUUGGCAUUACUCAGGAAAGAAAAAAAUUAUUAACAUAUGUACAGUAUUUUGUUACGCUAUACAUUUUAUUUAUUAAAAUACUCUGAAAAACUUGUUGUUUGUACAUAUGAUAUUGCUAUAAUGUAUUUUUUUUUACUUCUGCAUUAUUGAGUCAAUAUAAAAACAUUUUAUAUUUGUUUGUCACUAACAAAAGCAACAUUUUAUCUAACAGACCACAAAUCACAAAAGAAUAAAGGCUGUGGUGGUUUUCAUGCAUGUGCAAAAACCAGUGUCCAGAAGAAAUGCAGCAGAUUUUCAGUUAAAUUCUUUAAACUAUUUGUAAUCAAGGGUUAUCAUGUAAAAAUUUUUUUUUUACUUGUUACUGCACUUUUUUUUUAAAAAAGCUUUUAAUUUUCUACAUCUGCAGCAUUUCAUUUCGUUAAUUUUACAGGCAUUAUUGCUUUACUGCAUGACUUUUACAGUCAAUGGUUUUAAUAACAUUUGGUCAGACAAUUAGAAAGGAAUAAUAAUAAUAAAACAAGAAAAAAACUAACAAGCAAAUCAGUCCUUAGAGCUCCUGUGCCACAUUUUGCUCAUUUUACAUUUGCUUUAGUGAACUGUUUUGGUGAAAAACUAAAAACAGGGAAGUUUACUUUAUAUAGACUUCUUAUUAUGCAGAGGAAAAAAAAAUUUGCACAAAAAAGCCCUGAUUUCUGGAUUAAUAAACUUUUCCAAAGAUAUCUUCUGAAAAUCUGAAAGAUUAGUGAUUAUUUGCAUAUAAGAAGCUCCGAAAUGGAAGCAGGACUGAAGCUGGGAAUGAUUGUUAAAUGUCAUUUUGUCAUUACCAACAUCAAUAUUUUUUUCUUGUUUCCGUUUUGCAUAAAGGAGUGUAUUAUACCAAGCAAAAUCCACAAGAAGAUGCUGUUUGAUGCUGAUCAACACAUAUGAUGACUUCAAAAGACAUUUAUAAUGAAGGUGCUCAGUGACAUGUUGUUGUUUGAUUGUUGAAAUUGCCCUGAAUACAUCCUAAAUGAUCUCGAAAUGCUUUAGGACUUCUACAAAUAACACUGAAUACCCACCAAAAUGAAACCCAGGGAGGCCCUUGUCCAGACCUGUGACGUCUGUUUUCCGACAAGUUGUGCCAAUAGAGACGGGUUAAACGAUUUCCUUUAAGAAACAGAUAAGGAGGAACAGAUAAUAAACAGAUAAAAAGGUAAACCGGAUGCCAUUGUCUGUAUCCACACACUGUAAUCGCACACCUUACUUGCACACUAGGUGCUUUGCAUGCCUUGUGGUUAUUGUGGCGUUGCCUGUGUCGUCCUCCUCCCCCCGCCGGACAGUAAUGGUACAGUCCACUGAGUGGUUUGGACGCGGUUCUCCAGGAGCGGAGCAGGAAUCUGACCUGAACUCUGCAAGACUGUGUGAUGCGUCCGAGUCGCUGCUGAGAUGAAAAUCCGCAAAGAACACAGAAAAGAUCAAGGAAAUGAAAAUGUCCAAAGUUUCUGGCUACAGAUCACCGCUAACCAGCGUCUAAAAACCUGAACAUUUUUACCUACAGGAGGUAAAGACUUGGAGCUCAGAGCGACAGAAGUAAGCUGGUGGAGAUUUGAACUUUUUUUUUUUGCUUUUGCCUGGACGCAGAAAUGAGGGCCGUCCAUGUAGGAGCUGGACACAAGCGUCUUCACGGCGGUUACACAAGAUGCACCUGCACGGUGGAAAUAAAAAACAAUAAAGCACAACCAGGCACAUAAAAAAGUUUCAAAAGUUGAGGAUUUGCCAAGAAGAAGGAGCAUGUGCAUACUGUCCCCAAACGAUGAUGAAGAUACUGAGGGAGGAAAAGAAGAACCCAAGAUCACAAGUUUCAGAACAGCAUCAUUUUUUCUUGUUUCUUUGCAGGAUAUUAUGGUACAAAUAAAUGCUUUGGCCAAAAAAAA
Molecule: long non-coding RNA, 2117 nt
Organism: Silurus meridionalis
Lineage: Eukaryota; Metazoa; Chordata; Actinopteri; Siluriformes; Siluridae
Exons: 2
Source: RefSeq, a predicted model, not a curated record